GAUUGCAUUGGGAGUGGCUCGAGGUAUUGAAUAUUUACAUAGAGGUUGUGAAAUGCAAAUUUUACAUUUUGAUAUCAAGCCACAUAACAUUCUUCUAGAUGAGAACUUUACUCCAAAAGUUUCAGAUUUUGGCCUCGCAAAGUUGUAUUCAGUGGAUGAUGAUAUUGUUUCUCUCACAGCAGCACGAGGUACGCUAGGAUAUAUGGCUCCUGAAUUAUUUUAUAAAAAUAUUGGAGGCAUCUCAUAUAAAGCUGAUGUUUAUAGUUUUGGAAUGAUGUUAAUGGAAAUUGUUGGAAGGAGAAAAAAUUUGAAUGCCUCUGCUGAAUAUUCAAGUCAAAUUUAUUUUCCAUCAUGGAUUUAUGAUCGGUUUGAAGAAGGAGACAUCAUUGAGCUUGGAGAUGUGACGGAAAAUGAAAACAAAAUUAUGAGGAAAAUGGUAAUAGUAGCCUUUUGGUGCACACAGAUGAGGCCCACAGAUCGUCCUUCAAUGAGCAAAGCCUUGGAGAUGCUUGAAAGUGAAGUUGAGCUCCUUGAAAUGCCUCCCAAGCCUUCUUUCUCUGGAAAUGUCAACUAAAGAUAGUAAGAAUUCAAUAAACAUAAUAAAUCACAUCAUUUAUUACAAAAAUAUUAAGAAAUAUUUAAUAUAUAUUUUGUGCUAAGCAAUGUUUCACUACUUUAUUAUAGUACUUUUAUAAUUUUUGCAGUCUUGCUUAUCAUCUUAAUUCUUAUAUAUAGAAUCUGAAAUAUAUAGAAUCUUGAGUUGAUUGAUGCUGGCCUGUGUUCUCUUUUUCUGGUGGUUGAAAAUAUUUUCAAGUCAUAUUUUUCUCUUGUGCUUGUUGCGGUUUGGUUUUGUUUUUUUUUUUUCUGAUUUGUGUUUUGGUUUGGCUUUUUGCAUCAGUGGUUGUGAUUUCUGAUCUUUGUCUGUGUCUCCUAAUGCGUUUUCAAGGUGUUCUGAGGGGUUGAGUUGCGAUUUAUUCCAGGGUUAGAAUGGUUGAUGUGCUUUUGUUGAAGCCAUGAUUCCCCCUUGAUUGACUUUCUUCUGAGGCUCUUCCUUUGAAUGAUUUUGUCUCUCCUCUGUUGCUUUGAUCGUCAUGUGUUUCUCGGUUUGGCUUGUGAUGUUGAUUUUUGAGUUGUUGAUUUCCUGUGUCGUGGCGAUCUUGGUUUGUUUUAUGUUCAAAUCUUGCAUGGGGUUUUUGUGUUUUGAUUGGACCUUGGCCUUUUUUUUUGGGAGGUUUGUAUUUGCUAGUGAUUAUCUCCAUCCUUCUUUAGUGGAGACUUUUCACAGCUUUUUUGUACUCCUUUCGUAUUAACUCAAUGUGCUUUGCGUUUCAAAAGAAAAAAAAAAGGAUAGAAACCUUAAGCUUGAGGCAUAACCUUCUCUCUUAAUAUGCUCAAAAAAUCUUAAAACAAGCAAUAUGUUGUAAAAUAUAACUUUAAAAGAAAAUAUUAGAGAGAAGUAGUAAGAAUGUAAGAAAAUGUUUUAUUUCAUUUCUUGUUUUAGUGCAUCUAUCAACCAUCAACUACAAUGCCUUUAUUUAUAGGCACACAUAGAUGGAGAGGAAAUGAAUUUACAUAAAUAGAAAGGAUGAACUUAAUAGAUAAAAAUGUACAUACACUGAAUGAAACCAGGAGAUAAAAAUGUAAUGACAUAAAUAUGUACAUUGGAUAUGGGGAGAUACAUUAGAUAUUAUAAAGUACAAUAGAUAUUCACAUAUAUUUAUAACACUUUCCCUUAAAUGUUCAUUGUACUACCUCAUUAAAAACCUUAAGCCGGAAAAAUCUAGUAGGACAAAAACUAAUCAGAAGGAAAAAAGAGUAUAGUGGAUGGUCCAUAUUUGCUCCCUUUCAAUUGAGCCAUAUUGCCACUUCUGGGGUCUAUCCCUUUAAUGUCCAUUAUAUUGUCUCAUUAAAAACCUUAAGUCAAAAAAAUACUAUGGCACAAAAAUACAGUGCACCCCCUCAAUUGAUCCAUAUUGCCACUCUAGUGGCAAAUUAAUCUUGCAUCUUGUUAACUUCUCCAUUCCAAUGUCAUUUACUAAUUUCUCAAAUGUUGAUGUUGGUAAUGAUUUAGUAAAAAGAUCUGUAAGAUUAUUGGUGGAGCGAAUUUGUUUAAUGUCAACUUGUCGACUUUCCCAGAAUUCAUGAGUGUAGAAAAAUUUUGACAAGAUAUGCUUGAUCCUAUCACCUUUAAUAUAUCCUCCCCUAACUUGUGCAAUGCAAACAACAUUAUCUUUAUAAAGUAUAGUCAGAGAAUUCGUAAGUGGUGUUAAACAACAAGAAUUAUGAAUAUGCAUUAUAACAAAUCUCAACCAAACACACUCUCUUCUAACUUCAUAUAAGGCGAUAAUCUCAAAGUGGUUGGAGGAUGUAGCUAUUAGCAUUUGUUUAGUAGAGUGCCAAAAAAUGGCAGUGUCGUUAUAGCAAAAUAAAUAACUAGUUUUGAAAGCAAGGCUUUUACAGAUUAGAUUUACAUCCUGCAUCAGCAAAUCCAACUAAGCCAAAGUUAGUGGAAUCCUUGGAAUAAUAUAAUCUCAAAUCUAUAGUUCUUCUGAGAUAACAAAAAAUGUGUCAUGACCCGGAACUCCCAUCGAGCCCGUGACAACCGCCGCGACGUCCCGAUAGACAUUCAUUACUCGAAAUGUCAAUCGAAACCUCGCAAGGCUUAACAUCAGUUUUUCUCACUUCCCCCAUGAGUAUUAGUUACUAAAAUCAUGUUUUGAGAGAUUAUAAACUAUUUCCAAUUCAAAACAAUAGAAAAAUAAUUUUUUCCUCACAGGGGUAUUUUGAUCAUUUUUCCUCAAAAAUCUCGAAAUCCACUAAAAUGUAGUAAGCAAGUACAAAACACAUAAUUCAUAAUCAAAAAUGAGUUUUAAAGUCUAAAAUCUUCAUUUAAAACGAAAUUUUGAUUAUUUGGAUAUAAUAAGAAAAUAAAAGAAAUAUUAAGUAAAAUAUUCUAUUUUCUUAUAAAAUAAUAUUUAUAGAGUUAUACGUAAAUAAUUUUUGUAGCGUAAAAGCUAAAUAAAUUCAUACAUACUGUAAUACAGUAAGUCAGAGUAUUUAAUUUAAUUUGCAAUAACAAGUGGGCCCCCGAAUAACCAAAAGUAAAGAGGACAAUUGUCACGACCCGGAACUCCCAUCGGGCCUGUGACAACCGUCGCGACAUCCCGAUAGGCACUCAUUACCCCGAAUGUCGAUUGGAACCCUACAAGGCUUAGCAUCAGCUUUCGCAUCUCCCCGGUGAGCGACAGUUAUUAAAUCUUGCAUUUCAAGAAAUCAUAAGUCGUUUCCAAAUCAAAACAAUAAAAUAUUAUUUUCUGGCUCACAGGGGCAUUUUCGUUAUUUUUUUUUGAAAAUACCGAAACCCACCAAAAACAUGGUGUAAAAGCUAAAUAUGUUCAUACAUAUUUUAAAUCAAAUAACUAAAAUACAAAUUUACUUUUACAAUGACACGUGGGCCCCUAACUAACCAAUAAGAUGCGAGUCUGUGAACCUAUAAUUUUGACAAUGCAAGGCUAAUUGAAGUCCUUGAUGCAAUUGGCUAUCUACCGGCUAUCUCGAAUCUGAAAUGUGGGGAAUUGAGGGUGGUGAGAUUAUAAAAUCCCAGUGAGUAAACAGACACCAUCUAAACUAUCUAAAGGUGAGUAAAUGGAGAUAAUUAAAAAAUAAUUAACUUCGGUAAAUUUUUUACAUCACGAAUAUUCAUUUCAACCAAAUAAUCAAUAUGGCUCGUGAAUUACUCAAAACUUGGCUCAUGCCAAAUCCUGUACUCGGUGACACUUGGACUAGGGGUAUCCAACCGAGUCCGCCAAGGCUGUUAAAAAUUCAUAUUUCGCAUAAAUCAUAUUUUUAUUUCGAAACAUAGCCGUUCCUUGGCAUUGGCUGAGUCUCACUCUCACGCGGUGGUCCACAUUAAGUGCACUCAAAAAGCCCACCUCAAGAGAUACCCUACGCGCCUCUACGACCGAGGUGAGAAUAUAAAAGAGUUUACCGUGCCCCUCUAAUANNNNNNNNNNNNNNNNNNNNNNNNNNNNNNNNNNNNNNNNNNNNNNNNNNNNNNNNNNNNNNNNNNNNNNNNNNNNNNNNNNNNNNNNNNNNNNNNNNNNNNNNNNNNNNNNNNNNNNNNNNNNNNNNNNNNNNNNNNNNNNNNNNNNNNNNNNNNNNNNNNNNNNNNNNNNNNNNNNNNNNNNNNNNNNNNNNNNNNNNNNNNNNNNNNNNNNNNNNNNNNNNNNNNNNNNNNNNNNNNNNNNNNNNNNNNNNNNNNNNNNNNNNNNNNNNNNNNNNNNNNNNNNNNNNNNNNNNNNNNNNNNNNNNNNNNNNNNNNNNNNNNNNNNNNNNNNNNNNNNNNNNNNNNNNNNNNNNNNNNNNNNNNNNNNNNNNNNNNNNNNNNNNNNNNNNNNNNNNNNNNNNNNNNNNNNNNNNNNNNNNNNNNNNNNNNNNNNNNNNNNNNNNNNNNNNNNNNNNNNNNNNNNNNNNNNNNNNNNNNNNNNNNNNNNNNNNNNNNNNNNNNNNNNNNNNNNNNNNNNNNNNNNNNNNNNNNNNNNNNNNNNNNNNNNNNNNNNNNNNNNNNNNNNNNNNNNNNNNNNNNNNNNNNNNNNNNNNNNNNNNNNNNNNNNNNNNNNNNNNNNNNNNNNNNNNNNNNNNNNNNNNNNNNNNNNNNNNNNNNNNNNNNNNNNNNNNNNNNNNNNNNNNNNNNNNNNNNNNNNNNNNNNNNNNNNNNNNNNNNNNNNNNNNNNNNNNNNNNNNNNNNNNNNNNNNNNNNNNNNNNNNNNNNNNNNNNNNNNNNNNNNNNNNNNNNNNNNNNNNNNNNNNNNNNNNNNNNNNNNNNNNNNNNNNNNNNNNNNNNNNNNNNNNNNNNNNNNNNNNNNNNNNNNNNNNNNNNNNNNNNNNNNNNNNNNNNNNNNNNNNNNNNNNNNNNNNNNNNNNNNNNNNNNNNNNNNNNNNNNNNNNNNNNNNNNNNNNNNNNNNNNNNNNNNNNNNNNNNNNNNNNNNNNNNNNNNNNNNNNNNNNNNNNNNNNNNNNNNNNNNNNNNNNNNNNNNNNNNNNNNNNNNNNNNNNNNNNNNNNNNNNNNNNNNNNNNNNNNNNNNNNNNNNNNNNNNNNNNNNNNNNNNNNNNNNNNNNNNNNNNNNNNNNNNNNNNNNNNNNNNNNNNNNNNNNNNNNNNNNNNNNNNNNNNNNNNNNNNNNNNNNNNNNNNNNNNNNNNNNNNNNNNNNNNNNNNNNNNNNNNNNNNNNNNNNNNNNNNNNNNNNNNNNNNNNNNNNNNNNNNNNNNNNNNNNNNNNNNNNNNNNNNNNNNNNNUUUUUUUGUUUUAUUAAUUCCUUAAAUUCUAGCCAUCCAUUUAUUUCCAAAUUUUCACCAUACACUUGUCCCACAUAUCCAUAGCUUAGAUAAAAUUCUCAGACUUAUCCAAAGUCUUGGUGGAGUAAUUUUUUGAAAUUACACUUUUAUCCCCGUAAAAGUCAAAAAUUACAUUUUUGCCCCAAAAACUGAAAAAUUUCCCAUAGACAUAUUUUUCAUCCCUAAUACUCAUACCAUUCUCCAAUUUGUCAAAUGUGAUCUAAAUUCUCUCAAAAUCUCAAAUUUUGUUCGCAUAUGGAAAAAUUACGAUUUUGCCCCUACACUUCAGAAAUCACCGAAAUUAAACUUUUUCAUUGCCAAACUCUCAAAUUAAACUCUAAUAAGUUUAAUAUAAUCAAUCUUAAUCAAAUGGGAUUAAAAAUUUCCAUAUUCGUCCUCAAGUGGCAAAUUACCAUUUUACCCCUAAAAUACUUAAAGUUUGGAUUAACUCCAUAUCGGACCUCGAACUCUGAAUCCUCAUUUUAAAUCAACCCAUAGGUUUUAGUUCUCUCAAAUUCAUCCUCGAUUCUCUGUUUAAACUAGUUCAAGACUUAUUUGACUGAACCGUACCAUCAGGGGCAAUAUCGUCUUUUAAUGAUUCCUCGAACUUCCUAAACAUACAAACAUUCUAUUGAGUAUGUAAAUGACGUCGUAAUUAUUUUAUAGAAUCGGGUUUGACAACAGUGAACCUACAGUUUGAAGGAAUGCAAAUCCAAGGGUAGUCCUCGAUGAACUCAGCUAUCUACAGCCUAAUCUGAACCUGAAAUGGGUGAAAAAGAGAAUGGUGAGAUUUUAUAAUACCAGUGAGUAAAUAAACAUCAUUCAAAAGAUCUAAAGUCGAGUAAAAGGAGACAAUUAAAAUAUUUCAUCUCAAUAUGUAUUUCAUAACAUAAAUAUUCAUUUCAUUUAAAUAUUUAACAUGGCUUAUGAGUAUCUUAAAAGCUUGGCUCCUGCCAAAAUCAUUCUCGGGGAUACCUUGGCCGAGGCAUCUAACCGAGUCUGCCAAGGCUGUUAAAAAGUUCGUAUACACGUAAACAUAUUUUUAGUUUGAAAAACAUAGUCAUUCUUUGGCGUUAGCGGAGUUCAUCAUCACGAGGUGGUUCGACGUGACGUGAACUCUAUCCAUACCUCAAGAGAUACCUUACGCACCUCUCUGACCAAGGUACAUAUAUAUAUAUAUAUAUCUGGAUUCCGUGCCCCUCUAAUGGGCUGGUCCACAGAAUCUGCCUACUGUAGCAAGCUAAACCCACCAUACAAUAAAAUUUUGACAACAUGACAUGGCUAAUAUUUUACUAUCCAGCAUACAAGGGUAAAAUAAAACAAUUUAUAUAAUUCAUAAAACACAACCCAGCCAAUCAUGCCAACACAAUAACAAUAUAACAUAAGCCAUCAAUUUCCAAUCAUAAAUUUACAACAUACCGGUGGUCUCCAAUUACUCUAUUUUCAAAAUCGUUAUUUCGUUUCAAGACAAUUUAUAAAAUCUUUUCAUUUAAACAUAUUUUUGUUCAUUAAACCUAAAAUUAGCCAUUUAACUCAUUUUUCAUAAAAUUUCACCAAAAUCGAAUUAAAACAUACUUUAGAUAAUUAAAAUGAUAAUAAGGUUACUUACUAUUUCAAGAGUAGAAUUUCUAAAGUACUUUGACUACCGAUCCUCGAGUACAAUUUUUUUGCCUUUAUCGGAGGAUUCACCACCUAGACAUAGUACAAAAUCGAGAAACUUACUACAUUGGUACUAAAUCGAAAUUAAACUAAUUUAGACUACUAAUACAUGAUAUGGAAUGCAAAAAUGUCCGAAUAGCCGUUUAAAUACGGUAUUCGACCUAAUUCGCACUAUUCUCGUUGUAAUUGGCUAAAACCUCUAAUUUAACUCCAAAUCGAUUUCUUUCACUUUCUACACUCCAAUUAUACUUAAAAUACCUCAAUGAUUGUGAAUGUAAUUCAAUUUAUCUGUCCGAACCAUAAAUCUCACAUGUUUAUACAUUAGGUAAAAAUUCAAAUUUUCAUGCCAAAAUUUCUCAUUAAAUUUCUAGCCUCACCAAUCAUUAAAUACCGUCAAAAUAUCAUGAAAUAUCAUCAAUUUCAGCCUCAAUAUCCUCCCUAGAAAAUUCGGCCUCUUAUGGGUUUGUGAAGAACAAAGUGAUUUCUUACUAGAUUUUCAUACUUUCCAUUACUAAACAACCAAAAACACUUAAUUAACUUGAAAUCUAGCAAAAUUAAUGCUCAAAACCUCUCCUCUCAAAUUCGGCCAGCAUGGGUUCAUCAUGAAAACUUGAGUUCUAAGCAUGGAAAAUGAAAAAAAAAGCAUGGGUAGUGUAAAUCACAAGAUAAAAUCACAAAAUUUUACCUUUAUUAACUUAAUCCCUUAAAAUCCCACACUUUUUCUUCAAUUUUCCCACCUAGGUUUUGUUCUUUCUUUGUUCUUCUUCACUUCAUACUUUGGCCAGCCAUAAUGAAGAAAAUAGGCUGAUUUUUGCUGAUUUUAAAGCUAAAAAAAUAAAUGGAUAUAAACUUGACACAUGUCACCAUCCCAUUGGUCCAUUUUUUUAAACUUAACAAUUAAGCAAUCUCUCUCCACCACUUAAAUUUUCUUCAAUUAUCCAUGAUAAUAUUGGAUAAAAUCCAUAUGCUGGACAAGUGUCGGGUGUGUAAAACUACAAUUUUGCCCCUGAGGUGGCAAAAUUAUCAUUUUACCCCUAUGCUUCGAAAAAUACCGAGAUUACAAUUUUUUUCACUUCUCAACCUCAAAUCAUGCUUCAAUACUCAAAUCAUACUCUAAUAAGUCAAAUGGGGCCAAAAAGAUCUUUUCUAAAAAUUUUCAUUUUGUCACCAGGUGGCAAAUGACCAUUUUGCCCCUGGAUAGUGAAAAUUUCGAUUUGACUCCAAAUUGAUCCUUAAACUCCGAAUUACCAUCUUGAGUCAUCCAUGGACUGUGAAGCUCUUAAUUUCACCUUAAAAUUUCUAUUUGAUCUAGUUCAAGGCUUAAAUCAACUUUGUUGUACCUCUAGGUACAAUACUUACUUUUGUAAAUUUUUCAGGACUCUCCUAGCAUGCAAUCAUGCUAUCAUCACAUGUAUGUCAUGACAAGUAUUUUAUAAGGUUAAGCUUUACAAAAUAUGUUUUAUUCCAUUUCAAUGUCUCCAAGUUGGCUCAAAACAAAAACGUGCCAGCAAAUUUUCUACAAAAACGAUAUUGAGUCUCGUACAUUGUGCCAAGUACACCAAAGUCCCAAUUACAUUGAGAUAUGGUACUUUAGGAGCUAGUAUAUCCUCAUUAGGUUCUCUAGGAUGAAACGAAUCCUUUUGGGGAUUAAAAAACCUUAUAACCAUAAGGGUCUCGAAGGAUGAACCUCAUCCAUGUUAAAACGUUUAAGCAACCUCUCAAUAUAUGCUGACCGAUGGACAAGUAUUCCAUUUGCUUUGUGCUCAAGUUCUAAACUAAGACAAAGUCUGGUUUUACGAAAACUUUUAACUUCAAACUCCCUUUUCAAAUAUUCAACAGUUUUAGAUAACUCUUCUAAGUUCUAAUCAAAUUCAUAUCAUCGACAUAAACUUCUAUCAUAGCAAAUCCGAUUUUUGAUUUCUUAAUAAACACGCAUGGGUAGAUAGGAUCAUUUUUGUACCCUUCCUUAAUUAAGUACUUGCUUAAACGUUGAUGCCACAUGUGACAGGAUUGUUUUAACCCGUACAAAGAUUUUUGCAACUUUGUUGACAAUAAGUUACAAGGAGUGUAUGCUUCAGGCAUUUUGAAUCUCUCGAGAAUUUUCAUAUAAAUAUCGAAGUCUAAUGAACCAUAUAGAUAUGUCGUCACAAUGUCCAUAAGACGCAUUUCUAGUUUCUUAGAAACUACUAAGCUAAUAAGGAAAUGAAAGAUAAUCAUAUCCAUCACAGGUGAAUAUGUCUUAUCAUAAUCAAUCCCAUGUCUUUGAGAGAAACCUUGGGCAACAAGUCGGGCUUUAUACCUCACGACCUUAUUUUUCUCAUUUCGUCUCCUAACAAAUACCUACUUGUAUCCAAUGAGCUUUACAUUGUUAGGGGUUCAAGAUAUAGGCCCGAAAACUUCUCGUUUAGCUAAGGAAGCUAAUUCAGCAUAGAUUGCUUCCUCCCAUUUGGGCCAAUCUUGCCUUUGAUGAUAUUCGAUAAUAGAUCAUAGUUCAUAAUCAUUGUUUAUAAUCUCAUGAGCAACUAAGAGUGGAAAAACAUUAUCGAUGAUUAUCUUAUUCAGAUCCCAAAUCUCAUUACAAUAUGUAAUGAAAAUCUCAGUAUUUUUAGGGUCGACGGUCUUUUCAUGGGUUUGUGCCUCUUUAUGGGCAAUAAGUUCUCCUGGAGUAAGCUCAACACCAGGCUCUUCUGGAGUGGAUUCGUGAAUCUUCCCCUUUUAUUUUUGAGGGACAAUGUUUUUUUAUCCUAUUUGUCUUUCACACUUCAAAUGUGAGCCAUUUUGAUCUAUUUCAGCCUAUUCUUCAAGAAUAGUAAUCCUAGUUGGAACAUUCAUAGUUGGAAUAUGAGGCUUUGUAAUCUCGGCAGCAUCAUUAAAUGCGUCAGAAAGUCUAUUGGCAAUAGCUUGCAAAUGGAUUAUACGCUACACCUCAUUUUCACAUUUAAGAGUUCUUGGGUCUAAAUGGGAUAGAUUUUUCUCAUUCCAAGAGAAAAUCUCAACUAGUUGUUGUUUCCCAGCCAUGGAAGCCUUAGGUAUUCCAAUUAGUAGAAACAUUGUUUCAUCGAAAUGACAAUCUGCAAAUCUGAAGGUAAAAAGAUCACCCAUUGUUGGUUUUAAGAACCUAAUAAUAAAUGGUGAAUCAAACCCAACGUAAAUGCCCAAAUGGUGUUGGGGAACAAUUUUUGUCCUUUUUGGCGGUGUUACAAGCACCUACAUAGCUCAACCAAAGGUGCGUAAAUGUGAAAUGUCUGGCUCAUAGCCUAGAACCACCUGCAUGAGAGAUUGCAAGAGACUAGCAGUGGGGUGCAUCUAAUUAGUGCCAUCACAUGCAAAAUAGCAUGACCCCACGUUGAAUAGUUGAGCUUUGUCCUCCAUAAUAAAGUCCGAGCAAUAAUUUGAAUUUAAUCAAGAAUUCUGCCAAUCCAUUCUGAGUAUGAACAUGUGAAAUCAAGUGUUAAACCUUAAUUCUUGGUGAAGCACAAUAUACAUCAAAGCUCUUUGAUGUAAAUUCACCAACAUUAUCCAUCCUUUUGCUUUUGAUUGGAUAAUUAAGGAAAUGUGGACAAAGCUUUAUAAUCUGUGCAAGUAAACAUGCAAAUGCGAUGUUGCAUGUAGAUACCAGGCAAACAUGGAACCAUUUGCAGGAUGUGUCCCUUAAUACCAUGAAAUAUCUGAACAGCCCACUUGCCAAUUGUAUUGGUCCACAAAUAUUAACUUAGAUUCUUUGCAAUAAUGAAAGGGAUUCAAGAUUCACCUUUGUCAUAGAAGGUUUAUUAAUGAGCUUUCCUUGUAAACAACUUUCACAAGUAUAAUCUUUGGACAACAAAAUCUUUUUAUCCUUUAAAAGGUGUCCUUUAGUAUUAUGGAUUAUCCUACGCAUCAUUGUAGUUCUCGGGUGACCUAGGCGAUUAUGCCAAAGUCUAAACUCAUCGAGAUUUACCAGUUUCUAACACACGGUAGCUUAGGAUUUCCUGAUUCGAGUCUACCUCGACCCUAAAGUCCUAUAUCAAUGAUGAGUUACUUUAUUUUGAUAUCACUUAUCAUGCACCUACGUUCCAACCUAAAUGACAUGUCUAUUACCGAUGCAAGUCCUUAUUUAUAAAUAGAAAACUCAUCUCAUCUCUUACUGUGUAGGAUCAUGACACUCACAUUCUAAUUUAAAGUUCAAUUUGCUAUUUAAUGCAACCAACACAAAUACUAUUUCGAUGUGUAUCCAAUAAAUUCCCUAGGUUCGAAUUUUCUUUUGGGACGAAGGUUUGGGUUUUGAAUUGGUCGAAAGGUGGUUAAGAAAGAAGAGAAGGUUUUUUAAGGGAGAUUGGGGCCAUGCACAAAAAUGGUGCCGUUUGAGAAAAAAAAAGAAGAAAAGGAAAAAAAGCACGGACCUAAGCAACCUCGGCCCAAGUUAUAGCCCGAUUUGUGAAUUAAAACCAAAAAGGUUAAAGCCCAACCUAGUUGGAUCUUGGAGGUAUGAUUUGAGUUUAUUUUGUGUUAUUUUGAGCUUAUCAUUUAUUAUUUUAUUAUUUGUAAUGUAUUUAGUCAUUUUUUAUUUUUUUUAAAUGUAAUUUUAAUAAAUAUUUAACAUUAAUAAAAUUAUAAAUAAAUAAAAUAGUUAUUUGAAUUAAUUCCUCACGAUGGAAUUUUAUUUGAAUUAUGUAUCAAUAUUUUUUAAAUUGAUUUUCCUAGGGUGAGGAAUAAUUUGAGACUCCAUCAAAGUGUUGGAAGAGCUUAUUAAAAUUUAUUCCAACAUCCAAGUUACUUCACAUAAUCAUCAAAUAAAGAAAUAUUUGUAUUUUCUUUCUGCUACCUGGCUUGUUUUGUUUCUACUAUUUCUCUACUUCCCUAUAUGCUACCUCAAAUGAAAUAAAAUGUUUCCUCGCCUUUCAAAAAAAAUGUAGAAAAAAUGUUAAUUUUAUUUUUCUCUUAUUUUAUACAAAGAAAAUGUAUUAUAUUUUAUAUAUGUAUAUAAGUAUGUAUGUAUUUAAUUAUAUAUGUACAUAUCUAUAGUAUUAGCUGUUCAAACUUUGUUUGUGCAAUUUUUUUUUCAUACGUAAGUAACAACUUAGAAAAGUACAGUCUUUGCCAUUAUAUAUAUAUAUAUAUAUAUAUAUAUAUAUAUAUAUAUAUAUAUAUGCAUGUAAAUCUCUCUUUAUUUGUAAUUUUUUUUGUCCAAAAUGUUCUAUCCUAAUUACAAUAUUUUUAAUAACACAUUUAAAAAUUAAAUGCAAAUUUUAUUGGAGAGUGUUUUUUACUUUGGCUUUAGACUCCAGCUAAUUAAAUUUUCAAAGGAAGAUUUGCUUUCAUUUGCAACCAGAGAAUAAUUAGCGGACAACCAAGAUAAGAUUAUCCUAGUUCUUAUUUAACCUUUCUUUUUGAACUUUUUUAUACAUAUCCAAAAAAAUAUAAAUUACGGAACUGAUUAAUCCAUUUAGAAUUAUUAUUUUGUUUUUCAAUAAGUCGAUGGUGGAAUUUAAGACUACACAAAUGAAUUUAUAGGAUUGUUUAAGUGAUUUUAUUUAUAUUUUAUUGAGGGUUUAUUUUAAUCUUCCUACUGUGACUAUGUAGAUGAACUUAGAUAGAUUACAAAGAUUCCUUUUCUGUUAGUUUCGUUACGUGUAAAAUCAGCUCAGAGCUAUGAUUGGCUUGUGUUGAAGUAAUUGGCUUUAAUUAAUUAGUUGACUUGACUGACUUUUCAAACGAAGACAAGUGGGGAGAAAAACUGCCCCAUUAAAAGUUGACUGAAACAUGUGCAAUUUUGCUAAUAUCUGCAUGUGAUUUUUUUGUCCAAAAUAUUACCAAAAAAAAUUUUAUAGAACAGUGAUGAAAUGCCCCAUACUUUGAUAUGGUGAUAAAUAAAGUUGAUCGGAUGCGAAUUGAGACAUAAUAAGGUAUUUUGGGAACUAAAGAGACAAGAUAAAAUUUUUGGAAUAAAAUAAUAGUAAAAUAUUAACAUUUAACCGGAUGUCGAAAUCAGUCAUGAAGAAGGAUCAUAUGGUUAAUCCGAGUAGGGGAUAAGAUGUCAAGUCUGACUCUAUAAAAUACUUGUCAUGACAUACAUGUGAUGGAUAACAUGUUUACAUGCUAGAAGAGUCCCGAAAAAUUUACAAAAGUCGAUAUUGUACCUAGAGGUACAACAAAGUUUAUUUAAGUCUCGAACUACAUCAAAUAGAGAUUUUAGGGUGAAAUUAAGAGUUUCACAGUCCAAGGAUGACUCAAAAUGGUAAUUCAGAGUUUGAGGAUCAAUUUGGAGUCAAACCAAAAUUUUCACUAUACAGAGGUAAAAUGGUCAUUUGUCACCUGGGGACAAAAUGAAAAUUUUUACAAAAGAUUUUUUUGGCCCCAUUUGACUAAUUGGAGUAUGAUUUGAGGCUUAGAAGUGAAAAAUUUUAAUUUCGGUAAUUUUCGGAGCAUAGGUGUAAAAUGGUAAUUUUGCCACCCCAAGAGCAAAACAGUAUUUUCCACCACCAGAACACUUGUCCAGCAUAUGGAUUUUAUCCAAUUUUAUCAUGGAUAAUUGAAAGAAUUUAUAUGGUGGAGAGAGAAAGCUUAAGAGUUAAGAAAUAAAAAUGGACCAAUGAAAUGGUAACACAUGGCAUAUUUAAAACCAUUAAAUAUUUAACUUUAAAAUUAAUACAAAAUCAGCCCAUUUCUCAUUCAUAUGGCUGGCCAAAGAAGAACAAAGGAGGAAAGGAAAAAAAACAAGAACCCUAGGUGGGAAAAUUCAAGAAAAAGUGCAGGAUUUCAAGGGAUUAAGCUAAUAAAUAUAAAAUUUCUUGAUUUUGACUUGUGAUUUACACUACCCAUGCUUUCUUUUUCAUUUUCCAUAGUUAGAUUUCAUGUUUGCAUGGUGAAUUCAUGGCUGGUUAGAAUGGGUAUGGAGAGAGAAUGAAGUUGGAUUGAUUUGAUUCUAAGUUAUGUUAGUGUUUUUAGUUAGUUUAUCAUGUCCAGAAACAAACCAACAAGAAAAAUUUAUUUUCUCUCAUUACCCAUCAUUGGUCGAAUUUUCUGGGGAGGAUAUUGCGGCUGAAAUUGAUGAUAUUUCAUGAUAUUUUGGUGAUAUUUGAUGUUUGGUGAGGCUAGAAAUUAAAUGGGAAAUUUUGGUGCGAAAAUCUAAAUUUUUGCUCAACGUAUGACAUGUGCGAUUAUCAAUCCGGGACUAAUAAAUUGAAUCUCAUUCACAGUCACUGAGGUAAUUUAGGUAUAUUUGGAGUGUAGAAAGUGAGAAGAAUUGAUUUGGAGUUAAAUUGGAGAUUUUAGCCGAUUAGACCGAGUAUAGUGUGACUUAGGUCGAAUAUCACAUUUAAGCAAUUAAUCGGACAUUUUGCAUUUCAUAUCAUGCAUUAGUAGUCUAAAUUAAUUUAAUUUUGAUUUAGUACCAAUGUAAUAAGUUUCUCGAUUUUGUAUUGUGUCAAGGUGGUGAGUCCUCUGACAAGGGCAAGGAAAUUGUACCCGAGGAUCGAUAAUCGGAGUACUUUAGAAAUUAGACUCCUGAAAUAGUGAGUAACCUUACCAUCAUUUUAAUUAUCUAAAGUAUGUUUUUAAUCGGUUUUGGUGAAAUUUUAUGAAAAUGAGUUUAAAUGGUAAAUCUUUGUGUUUUACAAACAAAAUGUGUUUAAAUGAAAAGAUUUUAUAAAUUGUCUUGAAAUUGAAUAAUGAUUUUGAAAAAUAGAGUAAUUGGAGACCACUUGUUAUGUUGUGAAAUUUAUAAUUUGAAUCGAAUGGCUUAUGACAAUAUUUGCAUGAAUGGNAUAAUGAUUUUGAAAAAUAGAGUAAUUGGAGACCACUUGUUAUGUUGUGAAAUUUAUAAUUUGAAUCUAAUGGCUUAUGACAAUAUUUGCAUGAAUGGAUGAAUUGAUAUUUGUGUUGAAAUAUAUGAAAUGUGCAUUUAGCCUUGGAAGGUUGUGAAUUACAAUAAUUGCCAUAUCAUGUUAUUGAAUUUUAUUGAUUGGUGGAAAAAUUAUUAGCUUACUACAGUAGGCGGGUUUCCGUGGACUAGCCUAUUAGAGGGGCACGGUAAACCCCAUUAUAUUUUACUUCAGUUGGAGAAACGAGUAGGGUAACUCCCGAGGUAUAACUUUUAGAGUUCACUUCACGCCAAACCACCACAUGAGGUGGAACUUGACCAACGCCAAGGAACGGCUAUAUUUUUAAAAUAAAAACAUGUUUAUGUGUACGUAACUUUUUAAUAGCCUUGGCGGACUCGAUUUGGGAUAGCCCUCGGCCAAGGUAUCCUUGAUAAUUGAGUAUGAGAAUAAUUUUUGGCAUGAGCCAAGCUUUUAAGAAAUUCAUAAGCCAUACUGAUUACUUGAUUUAAAUAAAUUGAUUUCAUUUGGUUGAAAUAAGUUGAAAGAUGAUAAAUUACAGUUUGAUGAAAUGUUUUAAUAGUCUCCUUUUACUCGACUUUAGAUAUUUUGAAUGAUGUUUGUUUACUCACUAGGAUUUCAUACUCUCACCACCCUCCUUUCUAUCCAUUUCAGGCUUAGAAUAGAUUGUAGAUAACUGAUUAUCAGCGAUGACUACAAUUGGACUUGCCACAUCCAAAAACUGUAGGUUCAUUUUUUUUAUACUUUUUGUCAUUCGUGGGCCCACACGUCACUAUAAAUUAAAUUUUAUACUUUGGUUAUCUGUAUUACAGUAUAAAUGAAUCUAUUUUGCUUUUACGCUGUAAAAAUUAUUUACGCAAUGUUCUAAAAAUAUUAUUUUAUAAGAAAAUAGAAUAUUUUGCUUAAUAUUUCUUUUAUUUUCUUAUUAUAUCCAAAUAAUCAUAAUUUCGUUUUAAAUGAAGAUUUUAGACUUUUAAACUCAUUUUGAUUAUGAACUAUGUAUUUUGUACUUGUAAAUUACAUUUUUUACCGGUUUCAAAAUUUUUGAGAAAAAUGACCAAAAUACCCUUAUGGGACAAAAAUUAUUAUUUUAUGUGUUUUAAGUUGGAAAUAGCUUAAAAUCUCUUAGAACGUGAUAUUUGGCAACGGUUACUCACAGGGGAAAUGAGAAGCUGAUAUUAAAGUCUUGUGGGAUUCCAAUUGACAUUCCGGGUAACGAAUGUCGAUCAGGACGUCACGGCGGUUGUCACGGGCUAGAUGGGAGUUUCGGGUCAUGACAAUUAGAGUGGUAUCAGAGCUUUUGAUUUUAAAGAUUAGAGCUUUUGGGUUUAAAAUUGCUUUAAAAAUUUACAGUGUCAGUGUGGCCCCAAGUCCAGUUAAGUUAAGUUAAGCCAGGUUAGGUUGAAUAAAAUGUAUGUGUCUGCAUAUAGAGCCUAAGGUUGCCUAAACUUGCUUGUUUCCUCUUAUAGAUCUUAUGGGAGCUAUAGGAAUUCCUGUUCCCAAUAAUCCACUUCCUUGUUAAGGUCAUGCAAAGGUCAUAAGUAGGGUCGUUGUCUAGGUUUAAGAUGCCACCCGUGACAUGAGCCAGUGUUAGAGAGAUCUUAAAACGAAUGCUCCUAAUGAAAGAUUAAUGAAAUGAUAUAACCCUCCGAUUAAGGAUGGAGAAAUUUAGAAUUGGACUAAUAGACCGUGAUAAUUUAUUCAUUUGGUGGAGUUAUAAUUGAACACAUGGUUGUCAAUUGGAAAAAGAUUUGAGAACUAUGGAUUGUAUUGGGGUUAAUAUAAAGAAGCACGUGUAAUAAUGGUAAUAAGGGGCACAAUUUGGUUAGAAUGAAUAGUGAUGGUUGUAAUUCACUUGGAGUGUAUAAAUUAAGUAUUGAGGUAAGAGUAAGCCUAUACUUAUGUGCAUGAAGAUAAGAACACUAUAUUAAUUGAGCUUGUUAUGCCAAUAUAUAAGUGGUGUUGAGAUUUUGAAAUAUUUUAUAGGUGAAUAUGUGUUGAAUAGGUACAGCAGCUUAGAGGGAACUGAUGUUGAUUUCAAUUAAGCGAUUGCGAGAUUUCAAGAAUUAAUUAGACCUAUUAUAGUUCAUGGAUAUAAGCAGGUGAAUUAACUCGAGAAUGAGUAUCAAUGAUUACUAUAAUUGAUGUGUGGUCAUGAAGUAAGAUGUUAGUAAACAAAUCUGCUCUAAGGAUGAGCUUGAACUUUGUUAUGCAUAGCAAAAGGGGGAGCUAAGGGAUUAAAGAACUAGAUGUGGAAUUGGCAGCUUGAGGUUAAAUGACUUGGAAAUGUCAAAUCCAGUCUAAGUGCCAUAUGAAGUUCUAUAAUUGAGAUUAAUAUACGAAUUACUUGAAAGAUCAAUUUAAAAGUUUAUUCGAUUCAAAGUGUGGCCUAUGAUACGAAUGAUCAGUCUUGAAGGUGAUCUCCCCAAAGUAAGGAAUUUAGAAAAUGCUGAUGUUUGGAUAUACUUUAAGAGAGAGAACUUCUACAUCCUAAGUUUAGGACAACUUUGAUUUUAUGAUCGCAAAGGCAAGGUGAAAUAACUAAGUAAAUUAUUUACUUAAUAAAUGUGAUUGGUUAUUGAUGAAUAAAGUCAAUAUCUUAACAUUUAGUGGUGUACAAUUUGAUAAUUAUGUAUUUAAGAGUUAUUUGGAGACAAUUCCUUCAUCAAAUUUGCACUAAAUGCUAUGGUAAAGGCAUAUCAAUGUUAAUAUGAAAAUGUAUCUAGGAAUGAUCUUAACAUAUCACCAAAGGAGAAUUAAACAUGUUGAAAUUAAUGUUCUAAUAGUGUGCAUAUGAUUGAAAGCUAGUUUGUAAGUUGUAGUUUUCAUGAUUAUGAAAUAUAUAAAGAUUAUCAAUAUAUGGGCAUACACUUGGAGUUAUAAUUUACAAGUUUGGAGUAUUUAAGAUAUGAUUAAAUGGAAUUAGCAUUAGUUAAGGUACGUAAAUCUUUUAAUUAAUUUCUGUGGAGUAUGCAUGAUAGUAAAAUGGAGGAACAUAGUGUCGUGAUACUAUAUGGUGAAGUUACUAUACAAUAUGGAAAGAGUAUUCUAAAGUGGGAUUUAUUGAUUGUUGACAAGUGUUAUAGGAUGAGAUGAAUUUGAAAAUAUUGACUUUACCUAUUAUAUGUGAUGAGCACAAGAGGAUAUAAAUGGUUAUGAAACACAUGAUAUAUGUCUAGAAGGGAAAGCCACUGCUUGAGAAUGAUUGAUGUGGUGACUUUGAAUGUAGACAAAUAGCUUUGAUGAGGAUUUUUCUAAUAGUUACAGCGCCGCAGCACUGACUGUCCAACGCUGUAAUGCUCUGAAUACCUCAUGCCUAUGAUGCAUGAGUAUGAUGGAAGUGGCACAAUAAUAAACUUACAAAUUGAAUUUUGGCUAUUGGUCAUUGAGCUUUAUUAUUUGGGAGUUUUAAAAAUUCUGGAGAAUGUUUACCUAAAUAAAUUAAAAAGCUUCUUUAUUGCCUCAUGUGUGAGCAUAUAAUAAAAAAAAAUUCUUGAGAUGGCUACCAUGAGAUAAGAUACCAAGAGAUGAAAGUAUGAAUGAAGAAUUACGAGACCGAUAUAGAAAACCAGUUUAUAUAGAGUAUCAUUAUGAGAACUUGCAAUUUCUAUCUUGAUUCAGUUAAAUGACAAGGGUUAGUAACAACAUGAGGCCAAUUGUGUGGCACCCUAGAAACCUAUGAAGAUGAGUUAGGGAUUGAAUGGAUGAGUACGUAUUUAUAUACCUUUAAGAUUAAGUGUUUUAAGAAUACAUAAACAUCUUUGAGAAGAAAUUUCUAGUCAUACAUGGCAAGUACGAAAUGUGAUAUUUUUAAAACUUGUUGAGGAGCCUAACGGCUAAGUCACAAGUUAAGUGAUCAUAUGCUGUGAGACAUAAGUUUAAGGUAGAUAUUCCCAAGGAAAUACUCAAGAAGAGUUUUGCUACGGAUUUUGUGGAAGCUAGCAUUAAGUUAUGUGGCUGUAAAAAGGAAGCUUUAAGUUGGAAGUGAAAUUCAUAUUGACAUUGAAAAGUACGUAGAAGGACUUUAUUUCAAGUCUUACAAUUUUAAGUACAAACUGCAGAUUGGUCUAGGGAGAAUGAUAUCACAUUAUUAUGGAAGAACAGAACAAAGGAUGAAUGAAGAUAAUUUGGAUAAUGAAGCUUGAUAAUGAAAAUUUCCUAAGGUAGUAUGGAAACUGGAAUUUGAAAAUGCAUAAGGCAUGCAUGAUUAGAAACAGUCUUAGUUUUUAAGUGACAUUUAGUAGGUGAGAUGUGAUUAAUGACAUUGUGAUGUGAGGACAUAGCAUGAUAAAACUCAAGCAUAUGGUUGGAAAUGAUAUAAAUGAUAUGAAGUUAUACGCAAGUAUAAUAAGAAGGUUGACAUGCACUAUAAGAAUUAUUAUAUUGAAACUAAGAUUGGGAUGUGGAUGAAUAAAGGGGAAUGUAGUCCAAGGCAUGUGAACACAUGGAUCCCUAUACAUAAUGAGAGAUGUUGACAUUUGAAAAUGCAUGUACAUAUGUAUAUAUGAAAUUGAUAAUUUGACUAACUAAGGUGAAGAAUGGUUCUCAGUAAUUGGGAGAUUUUGAAAUAAUGUCUAGAGAGGUCAGUGAGCUAAAGUGUUAACGGGCAUGCAAUGAACGAUUAAAGUUAUGAGUAACUUUGAAGGUAAGCCUUGGAUUGUUUAAGUUCUUAAUGGAACUCUGUUAAAGGAAGGGUAUGGACCAAUAUAAGAUGAAUGAAUCAAGGUUGAGAAAUUUGGCGUGGAGCAAAUUAAUAAAAUGAUAAUUAGGUAUACAUAAGUAAGUAUAAUAGGUAAUCAAAAUCGGUAUAAUUGAGAUGAAGUUAUGGUUCAAAUUUAAUAAGGGUAAUAAAGGCAUGCUUGGUGACUCAAUAUAAGAAAUCAUGAUUGUGAAAAGUACUGCUGAUCUGGCUUCAAAGGAUGAUAAUUGCCAUAAAUAAAGCAUUUAACUGAACUGAAGGAGAACGAGGUAAAUAAAUUGAAUGUCCCUAUAGAAGGAAAAAGGAAUAGGAUCAUAGAAGGAGAUUGAUAACGUAACAUUGACGUGAAUUCGAGGACGAAUUCUAUUUAAGUGGGGGAGAUUGAAAUGCCCCAUACUUUGAUAUGGUGAUAAAUAAAGUUGGUCAGAUAUGAAUUGAGGCAUAAUAAGGUAUUUUGGGAACUAAGGAGAUAAGAUAAAAUUUUUGAAAUAAAAUAAUAUCUUAUUAAUAAAAUAAUAGUAAAAUAUUAAUAUUUAACCGAAUGUCGAAAUCAGUCAUGAAAAAAGAUCAUAUGGUUGAUCCGAGUAGGGGAGAAGAUGUCAAGCCUGACUCUAUAAAAUACUUGUCAUGACAUAUAUGUGAUGGGUAGCAUGUUUGCAUGCUAGGAGAGUCUUGAAAAAUUUACAAAAGUCAAUAUUGUACCCAGAGGUACAACAAAGUUGAUUUAAACCUCGAACUAGAUCAAACAUAGAUUUUAGGGUGAAAUUAAGAGUUUCACAGUUCAGGGAUAACUCAAAAUGGUAAUUCGGACUUCAAGGAUCAAUUUGGAGUCAAACCGAAAUUUUCACUAUCUAGGGCCAAAAUGGUCAUUUGCCACCUGAGGACAAAAUGGAAAUUUUUACAAAAGAUUUUUUUGGCCCCAUUUGACUUAUUGGACUAUGAUUUGAGGCUUAUAAGUGAAAAUUUUUAAUUUCGGUAAUUUUCAUAGCAUAUGGGUAAAAUUGUAAUUUUACCACCCUAAAGGCAAAACAGUAAUUUUCCACCACCAGAACACUUGUCCAGCAUAUGGAUUUUAUCCAAUUUUAUCAUUGAUAAUUGAAGGAAUUUAUAUGGUGGAGAGAGAAAGCUUAAUAGUUAAGAAAUAAAAAUAGACCAAUGAAAUGGUGACACAUGGCAUAUUUAUAACCAUUAAAUAUUUAGCUUUAAAAUUAAUACAAAAUCAGCCCAUUUCUCAUUCAUAUGGCCGGCCAAAGAAGAACAAAGGAGGAAAGGAAAAAAAACAAGAACCCUAUGCGGGAAAAUUGAAGAAAAGUGUGGGAUUUCAAGGGAUUAAGCUAAUAAAGGUAAAAUUUCUUGAUUUUGACUUGUGAUUUACACUACCAUGCUUUCUUGUUCAUUUUCCAUACUUAGAUUUCAUGUUUUUAUGGUGAAUUCAUGGCUGGUUGGAAUGGGUAUGGAGAGAGAAUGAAGUUGGAUUGAUUUGAUUCUAAGUUAUGUUAGUGUUUUUAGUUAGUUUAUCAUGUCUAGAAACAAACCAACAAGAAAAAUUUAUUUUCUCCCAUUACCCAUCAUUGGUCGAAUUUUCUAGGGAGGAUAUUGCGGNGUGUUUUUAGUUAGUUUAUCAUGUCUAGGAACAAACCAACAAGAAAAAUUUAUUUUCUCCCAUUACCCAUCAUUGGUCGAAUUUUCUAGGGAGGAUAUUGCGGUUGAAAUUGAUGAUAUUUUAUGAUAUUUUGGUGAUAUUUGAUGUUUGGUGAGGCUAGAAAUUAAAUGAGAAAUUUUGGUGUGAAAAUCUAAAUUUUUGCUCAACGUAUAGACAUGUGUGAUUAUUGACCCGAAACUGAUAAAUUGAAUCUCAUUCACAGUCACUGAGGUAAUUUAGGUAUAAUUGGAGUGUAAAAAGUGAGAAGAAUUGAUUUAGAGUUAAAUUGAAGAUUUUAGCUGAUUAGACCGAGUAUAGUGUGACUUAAGUCGAAUAUCACAUGUAAGCAAUUAAUCGGACAUUUUGCAUUCCAUAUCAUGCAUUAGUAGUCUAAAUUAGUUUAAUUUUGAUUUAGUACCAAUGUAAUAAGUUUCUCGAUUUUGUAUUGUGUCAAGGUGGUGAGUUCUCUGACAAGGGUAAGGAAAUUGUACCCGAUGAUCGAUAAUCGGAGUACUUUAGAAAUUAGACUCCUGAAAUAGUGAGUAACCUUACCAUCAAUUUAAUUAUCUAAAGUAUGUUUUUAAUCGGUUUUGGUGAAAUUUUAUGAAAAUGAGUUUAAAUGGUAAAUCUUUGUGUUUUACAAACAAAAUGUGUUUACAUGAAAAGAUUUUAUAAAUUGUCUUGAAAUUGAAUAAUGAUUUUGAAAAAUAGAGUAAUUGGAGACCACUUGUUAUGUUGUAAAAUUUAUAAUUUGAAUCGAAUGGCUUAUGACAAUAUUUGCAUGAAUGGCUGAAUUGAUAUUUAUGUUGAAAUAUAUGAAAUGUGCAUUUAGCCUUGGAAGGCUGUGAAUUACAAUAAUUGCCAUAUCAUGUUAUUAAAUUUUAUUGAUUGGUGAAAAAAUUAUUAGCUUACUACAGAAGGCGGGUUUUCGUGGACUAGCCUAUUAGAGGGGCACGGUAAACCCCAUUAUAUUUUACCUCAGUUGGAGAAGCAAGUAAGGUAACUUCCGAGGUAUAACUUUUAGAGUUCACUUUACGCCAAACCACCACAUGAGGUGGAACUUGGCCAACGCCAAGGAACGGCUAUAUUUUUAAAAUAAAAACAUGUUUAUGUGUACGUAACUUUUUAAUAGCCUUGGUGGACUCGAUUUGGGAUAGCCUUCGGCCAAGGUAUCCCUGAUAACUGAGUAUGAGAAUAAUUUUUGGUAUGAGCCAAGCUUUUAAGAAAUUCAUAAGCCAUAUUGAUUACUUGAUUUAAAUAAAUUGAUUUCAUUUGGUUGAAAUAAGUUGAAAGAUGAUAAAUUACAGUUUGAUGAAAUGUUUUAAUAGUCUCCUUUUACUCGACUUUAGAUAUUUUGAAUGAUGUUUGUUUACUCACUGGGAUUUCAUAAUCUCACCACCCUCCUUUCCACCCAUUUCAAGCUCAGAAUAGAUUGUAGAUAACUGAUAUCGGUGAUGACUACAAUUGGACUUGCCACAUCCAAAAACAGUAAGUUCAUUUCUUUUGAUACUUUUAGUCAUUCGCGAGCUCAUGCGUCGCUGUAAAUUAAAUUUUAUACUUUGGUUAUCUGUAUUAUAGUAUGAAUGAAUCUAUUUUGCUUUUACGCUGUAAAAAUUAUUUACGCAGUGUUCUAAAAAUAUUGUUUUAUAAGAAAAUAGAAUAUUUUGCUUAAUAUUUCUUUUAUUUUCUUAUUAUAUCCAAAUAAUCAUAAUUUCGUUUUAAAUGAAGACUUUAGACUUUUAAACUCAUUUUGAGUAUGAACUAUGUGUUUUGUACUUGUAAAUUACAAUUUUUGCCAGUUUCGAAAUAUUUGAGAAAAAUGACCAAUAUAUCCCUGUGGGACGAAAAUUAUUAUUUUAUUUAUUUUAAGUUGAAAAUAGCUUAAAAUCUCUUAAAACGUGAUAUUUGGCAACGGUUACUCACAGGGGAAAUGAGAAGCUGAUAUUAAAGCCUUGCGAGAUUUCGGUUGACAUUCCGGGUAAUGAAUGUCGAUCGGGACGUCGCAGCGGUUGUCACAGGCUCCAUGGGAUUUCCGGGUCGUGACAAGUGAAAUCCGUAAAAGUUGUAUGCAAAAGGAUUUUUAACAACACAAGUUAAAGAAAAAAGUUCAAAGGAAGAUUUGAUUUCAAUUGCAACCACAGAAAUAAUUAACAAAGCAAUGAAGAUAACAUUAUCCUAACUCUUAUUUAAUCUUUCUUGUUAAACUUUUUUAUAUUUUACUAAUCUUUGAGCAAAAAUUAUAUAUCAAUCACUGAAUUAAAUAUUUAAAUGCAUGAUAUAAAUUUUUGUUACAUUAGCAAAAUUUUAAAAUUUAAAUAUUAGUAUAAAAUUAUUAUAAAAAGUAAUUAUUAUUAAAUGCUUAAUUUUAUUACUAAAUUGUUAAAAGAGAGUUGAGGUUUGAGGAUGGAAGCUACUUUUUUAGCCACUUAGCCUUUUCUAUAUGUAACAAAAGAAGAUGUAAAAUAUGGACUCAAAUGUGUUUCUUGUGAGGCCAUCUUGUUUUUUAUGGUACUGUUGGAUCAUAUUAACCUCAAAGCUUUUGUACAGUUUUAAUUGAUGAGUUAAAUGUUAAAUAUAUUCACAUGUACAUGUAUAUACACAUACAUGAAUAAUGAAUAGUAAUGAAAACUAAAUAUAAGCAAAUAUCAACUAUUAUUUGAUAAUAAUAGUGUAUCUUUCUUAAAUAAUCCACUAAAUAAAUAAUUUCUAUAAGAAUCACGAUACUAACCUGUAGUUAUAGCAAAUGUCAAGUUUCUUUCUUUACAAGCUCAUCUUUAGAGUUCUUUAGACUUUUUUUAAUGAGUUCUUCCAACCCAAAUGGUAAUUUUACAAUGAUGGUAAUAUGGUAUUUAUUUUAAAAAAAAAUUACCUUCAGUGGGGACCUAUAUGUUUAUUUAAUAAAUAGAAUCUCUUUCAUCAAGAAGAUGCCACUAUAUCAAAAUUAAAAAAUUUCAAAAAUAAUGAAUAAUUAUCAUAAUUUUAUUUCAAUAAUAAAUAACUAUCACAAUUUCAUUAAAACUGUAUCACUUAUUAUGAAAAUUAAAUAUUAAAACCAUUCAAAAUUGAAAAUUCCAAUUUAGUUGUCAAUUUGAACACAAAUUUUCUUCUUUCUUGUUUGAGUGGUCCUACUCAUCCUACCUGUAUUCAAAAGUAAGAAGAAAAACAUUUAAAGACCUUGUGACAUUUUGGUAUCAAUUGCUGACACUUUGACAUUAGUUGACUGAGUUUUCAGCCACAAAUUGAUUGGCUGCACAGUGAUCAGAUAAGUGACCUUCCCAGCUUCUUCACUUGCCUGAUUUGAAGUUAAAACUAUAGCCACUCAGCCUUCUUCUUCUCACCAAAUUUCAAGAUAUGCUAGAGCAAACCUUCCACUAUUCGGCCUCCUGGCCCUUGCUUUAUCAAAUUUCCCUAAUUUUUGCAUUGCUAGAGGCAAGCACUACGACUCUUCUUUCUGUGGAAACAUUAACAUCAGUUAUCCUUUUCGAUUAGAAACCCAGCCUCGUAGUUGUGGUUAUAAUAGGUUUGAACUAGUGUGCUAGAAUAACCGCACCAUUUUCCCCAUGAAAAAUGGGAAUUUCUAUGUCCAACACAUCUCUUAUAGUGACGAAAUCACUCAACUUUUAGAUGUGAGUCUUGGCAAUGAUAACUACUCCAUUCCUCAUAGAUCUUAUCCUUGGUACACCCUUUUUAGGAAAGAACUGUUGAAAGGUAAUUCAUAAUCUGACAACAGCAGCAUGUGAAGAACAAGUGAAGAGCUUCAACUUAUAGUGCAAAACGAUGGCGUUUCUUCAUCAGAAGUUCUAAGUUUUCAAAGUGUGCCAUUUUACUUCUUUUAUGUUUUAAGUUUGUAGUACUCAAAACGAUGUUGCUCAUAACGUUUUUAGCUCUGCUUAGUUAAAUCCUAUACGCUUCAUUAUAGUGUCGUUUUUGAGUCUAUUUUAAGGCUUAACAACCAUGGCUUUCUGUUUCAACUUUUUACUGUUGGUGGUCAUUAGUUUGUCUGUAGUUUGUUGCUGUGAUCCAAUUUAUCAAGAAAUGUUUUUGAAUUGUUAGAGUAUAUAUACAAGAAAUGAAAUAAAAUGAUUAGCUUCUUCUAGUAAGAAAUUUUCUAUUCAUAUUCUCUGUUUUUAAGCUUUGUUUUUUCGUUGCUUAGCUUUGCAACUUAGCUUUUAAUUUUCUUUAAUUGGUAUCAGAGCUAUCAGUGAUCUUAAGGGCCUAGGAUUUGAUCAGUUUGUGUAAAUAUGACCUCUGGAUUCAAUGCAUCAGCUCCACCAAAGUUCACCGGAGAGAACUAUUCAUUCUCGAGUGUGAAAAUGGAGGUUUAUCUCAGAACCUUCAUGUUGUGGGAAGCAAUGGAGACUGAUGAGGAACCAGUGCAAAGGAGAGUUAAUCCGACGAUAGCUCAGAUCAGGCAAUUUGAGGAAGACAAAGCUAAAAGGUACAAAGCUCUGUCUUGCCUUCACUCAGCUUUAUCUGAUGAAAUUUUUGCUCGGGUUAUGCAUUUGAAAUCUCCUAAGCAAGUUUGGGAUUAUUUGAGAGAAGAGUUUUUUGGGAGUGAAUGAACUAGGCAGAUUCAAGCAUUUAAUCUUACUCAGAAAUUUGAAAUGUUAAGAAUGGAGGACAAUGAAAACAUAAGGGAUUUUUCUGGGAAGAUAAUGGGAUUAGUGAACCAAUUGAGGCUACUAGGGAAAGCGGUUACAGAAGAGAGACUGGUAAGCAAAAUGUUAGUGAGUUUACUUGAGAAAUAUGAGACUAAGGUGUCCUCAUUAGAAGAUUCCAAGGAUCUAGCUCAGAUUACUUUUAAGGAGUUAGUUAAUGCUUUGAAAGGUCUAGAACAAAGAAGGGCUUUUAGACAAAAGAGUGCAUCAGAUUUUGCCUUAGUAGCUAAAGCUAAAAAUGUGAAAAUGAGAGGUAAUGGCUCGAAGAACAGUUUAAUUGAUAAGAAAAACAAAGGAAGGAAGAGUGAAGAUACUCAACAGGAGGAUCAGAAGAAGGAAUUUCCACCAUGCAAGCAUUGUAAGAAGACUAGUCAUACUGAAAAAUACUGCUGGUUUAGGCCCAAUGUUAAAUGCAGGGCUUGCAAUCAACAGGAUCAUGUGGAAAAGGUAUGUAAAAAUUAGGCGAAAGCACCUGAGAAAGCUGCUGUUGUAGAGCAUGCAAAUGAAGAUGUUGAUGAAGUUCUUUUUACGGCUACAAUUGAUGAAAAUUCAAGCAAUGUAACAGCUGGUGAGAAUUCAAGGAGAUCUAAUGUUUGGCUUUUAGACAGUGCUUGCUCCCAUCACUGGACAGGUAAUAAAUCUCUUUUCUCUACCCUUGACACAAGCUUUAAGUCAAAGGUUAAGAUAGGAGAUGGAAAUUAUCUGAAUAUUUUAAGAGUAGGAACUGUUGACAUUGAAACUGCUUCAGGCAAAACAAGUAUCUCUAGUGUGCACUAUGUUCCUACUGUUGAUUAUUAUCUGUUGAGUGUGGGACAACUAGCUAAAGAGCAUUACAGUAUUUUGUUUAAGGGUGAUAGUUGUAUAGUUUUUAAUUCUCAGGGUAAAGAAUUGAUUACAGUAUCUAUGAAAAACAAUUGCUAUCCUUUGAAUUUGGCUAAUGCUGCUCACUUAGCUUUAUAUAACGAACUGGAUGUGUUUGAAGUAUGGCAUCAAAGGAUUGGCCAUGUUAAUUACAAUACUUUGAUUCUGAUGUCUUCUAGAAACUUCGUGAAAGGAUUGCUUGUUAUUUUAAAAUCGGAUAAGAUAUGCCAAACUUGUCAGUUUGGUAAACAAACAAAAAAAUCAUUUCCUAUAGAAAGUAGAUGGAAGGCUACUAGGAAGCUGGAAUUGGUACAUACUAAUUUGAGUGGUCCCAUGAAGACUACUUCACUUAGUGGAAGCAAAUACUACAUCAUCUUUAUUGAUGAUUAUUCAAAGUUUUGCUGGAUAUUCUUCUUGAAGCAGAAGUCUGAAGCUUUGAGCUAUUUCAAGAAGUUCAAAACUACUGCUGAAAAUUUCUCAGGACAAUGUGUAAGAACCUUGAGGAUUGAUAGUGGUAAGAAGUAUACAUCUGCUGAAUUUGAGCAGUAUCUAGAGUCUUGUGGAAUACAACAUCAGUUAACUAUUCCAUAUAGUCUUCAGCAGAAUGGGAAAGUUGAAAGAAUGAAUAGAACCUUGACAGAGAUGGGGAAGUGCUUAUUGUACUAGAUGAAGAAGCUAGGGGCAUUUUGGGCAGAAGCUGUGAAUACAGCUAACUAUCUUUUAAACAGAGUUUCCCAUAUGAAAUGUGGUUUGAUCAUAAACCAGAUGUUUCCCAUUUAAAAAUAUUUGGCUUCAUUUGCUAUGAUAAGGUACCAAAUGUUAAGAGGACUAAGUUUGAUCCAAAAUCUGUGGCAGCAGUUCUGGUUGGCUACAGUGAAGUCUCUAAAGGCUACAGAUUGUUUGAUCCUAAACUGAAGAAGAUUUUUGUAAGUAAAGAUGUGGUAUUUGAUGAGGGGCAAAGUUGAAACUGGCCUAAUAGUGGUGCUGGACAGGUUGAUUUUACCAAAACAGCUGAUGUAGAGGCUCAACAAACUGUAGCUGAUGAUGAUUCUGAUCUGGAGGAUGAAAGUAAAGCAGUUAGAGGUACAAUAAGCUUAGCUGACAUUUAUAAUAGAUGCAAUGUUACAGUAACUGAACCAGCAACUUUCAAGCAAGCUCAGCUUGAUGACAAUUGGAAAUUAGCUAUGGAUGCUGAAAUGGAGAUGAUAUCUAAGAAUGGGAUAUGGAUUCUUAUUGACAAACCAGUUGACAAAAACAUCAUAAGAGUGAAGUGGAUUUACAGAGCCAAAUUUAAUCCAGAUGGUUUUGUAAAUAAGUACAAGGCUCGGUUGGUGGUCAAAGGAUAUGCUUAAGUUUAUGGGGUUGACUACAUGGAAACAUAUGCUCUAGUAGCCAAACAUGACACUAUAAGGAUGCUUGCUGCUUUGUCAUCCAGGGAGGCAUGGACAAUUUAUCAUUUGGAUGUCAAAUCAGCUUUCUUUAAUGGCAUUCUUACUGAAGACAUUUAUAUUGAGCAACCUGAAGGUUAUGUGCAGCAGGGGUCUAAGAUGAAGGUAUGCAAGCUUAUCAAGGCAUUGCAUGGCUUGAAAUAGGCUCCAAGAGCCUGGUACACCAGAAUUGAUAAAUACUUCAAGAAUUAGGGGUUUAUGAGGAGCAUAAAUGAAUCCACUUUGUAUGUGAAGCAUGAGCAUAAUACUGUGGAACUUAUAGUAGCAUUAUAUGUGGAUGAUCUUCUGGUUACUGGACCAGAAAGCAAGUAUGUGUCUGAAUUUAAAUCUCGGAUGAAGGAAGAAUUUAAGAUGACUGACUUGGGAAUUAUGACUUAUUUUCUUGGCAUGGAAGUGGUGCAAGCUACUGGUAAAGUCAUACUGCAUCAAGGUAAAUAUGCUCAGGAUUUAUUAAAGAAGUUUAAUAUGAGUAUGUGCAAGGUAGUCAAUACUCCAUUGUGCAUUGGUGCUAAAUUUAGUGUAGCAGAUGGUGCUGAGAUGGCUAAUGGACAUUUAUAUAGAAGCAUUAUUGGUUCUUUACUCUAUUUGGCAGCUACCAGGCCAAGUAUAAUGUUUGCAACAAGCUUGCUGUCAAGGUUCAUGCAAAAUCCUUCAGAAGUACACCUUGCUGUAGCUAAAAGAAUUCUAAGAUAUGUUAGAGGGACUGUGAAUUAUGGACUAGUGUACAUGAAACAGGAAAGUAGUCAACUGAUAGGUUUUUUUUAUAGUGACUAGACAGGUUCAUUGGAUGAUUCUAAGAGCACAGGAGGUUUUUGUUUCUCAUUUGGAAGUGUUGUGUUUGCUUGGAGUUCCAAGAAACAGCCACUAGUAGCUCAGUCAACAGUAGAAGCAGAGUACAUAGCAUGUGCAGCUGCUACCAAUCAUGCUUUAUGGUUGAGGAAGCUAUUAGAUGAGUUUGGGUUUAAGCAGGAGAAAGGAACAUUGAUUAAUUUUGACAACUUGUCAGCAAUUGCCAUAUCGAAGAAUCCUGUUCAACAUGGGAGAACUAAGCACAUUAGAGUUAAGUACCAUGCUCUUAGAGAAGCUGUAAAAGAGGAAGAGAUUGAAUUGAUUCAUUGCUCAACAAGUGAUCAGCUUGCUUAUAUAUUUACUAAGAGUUUGGGAAGAGAAAGAUUUGAAUGUUUGAGACAAUGUCUUGGUGUUCAUCAGAUUAUGAAUUAAGGGGUUGUGUUGAAAGGUAAUUCAUAAUCUGAUAGUAGCAGCAUGUGAAGAACAAGUGAAGAGCUUCAGCUUAUAGUGCAAAACGAUGGCGUUUCUUCAUCAGAAGUUCUAAGUUUUCAAAGUGUGUCGUUUUACUUCUUUUAUGUUUUAAGUUUGUAGUACUCAAAAUGAUGUUGCUCAUCUCGUUUUUAGCUCUGCUUAGUUAAGUCCUAUACGCUUCAUUAUAGUGUCGUUUUUGAGUCUGUUUUAAGGCUUAACAGCCAUGGCUUUCUAUUUCAAUUUUUUAGUGUUGGUGGUCAUUGGUUUGUGUGUAGUUUGUUGUUGUGAUCCGAUUUAUCAGGAAAUGUUUUUGAAUUGUUAAAGUAUAUAUACAGGAAAUAAAAUGAAAUGAAUAGCUUCUUCCAGUAAGAAAUUUUCUGUUCAUAUUCUCUGUUUUUAAGCUUUGUUUUUUUGUUGCUUGGCUUUAUAGCUUAGCUUUUAAUUUUCUUCAAGAACUAUAUCUCUAUCGAACUACCACUGAAUACAGCAUCAUGUAUCUCGUAAAUUGCACGAUGCAGAUCAACUGCUCUUCCGUUUAUAUCGAUGCUUUUCGUUGUACCAAUACCCUUUCCUCUGGACCUCCUUACUUUUACUUUUUGGAUGAAAAUAUAGCAAAGUCUGAUUUCCAUGAGUCAUGCAGAAUUGAAGCCAGGUUCCAAUCAUGGUUGCCAAUAUCACUGGCCUCUCUACUUUUGAUAUUUACACAAAGUUGUUAACGGGAUUCCAACUCUCAUGGUCAACUUUCUAUUAUGAGGGGUCAAGGUGAGACUCAAUUGUUAACGUGUCAGGAUUUUUAAGAAUUCCUAAAUAUUUGGUGCAUUUUGGUUUUAGAAAAGUAUUUAUUACGGAUUCAACGGUUUUGACGUGCUUUCUUGAAUAUUAAUUAUAGAUUGCUAUUGUUGCGUCUGCGGGUUAUAUCUAUUCUAAACAUCAUGGUUGAAACAGAUAAUUUCCUUGCACCUUAUAAAGGUAUUCUUUCUUUUGUUGAGUUCAAUAAUAAUUUGAUUAUUAUUGGAUUGCCUUUAAUUUCCUAUAGAGUAGCUAUUAACACUUAAUUUUCCAAUUGGUAAUAUCUUACCAGGAAUCCAAAUUUUUUGUCAUGCAAUUACAGGUACUAAAUUCUACACUUUUAUUUACUCUUCAAUUCUAGAAUUAUUUUUUUUAAAAGGCUAAAUUCUAGAAUUAUUAUGUAGUAGGAAUCUAAUUAAGAUUUAGCUUUACAUUUAUAUUUUCAACCCAUAGGAAGUGACUAUCGCAUUGACUUGAAACUUUACAUGCAUGAUGAGUAUAAGUAAAUUGUUAAAUUUAAUGGUUGGUUUAUUAAAAUAUUAAUAGUAUAUGAAAUUAUAAAAAAAUUGUAAAAAUUAAUUAAUUUUAUAGUGGUGUAUGAGUACCGCAUACAUGUAUACGUGCGUCUCCAAGAGACCACAUAAAAGAAGAUCCAUCAUAAAUGAUUCAUAAAUAAUUUUGAACUACAUUAAUUGGGUUUUUUUUAAUUAGGUAUUUUUAUGAUAUUGUGAUGUUUCUUGGUCAAAAUAAAACUUACAUGGAAUAAGGUCUAAAUUUACCAUUCUAUUUUGAGUAAUGGAUCACACUUAUCACCAUCUUUGAACGAGUGUAAUUUUGCCGCUACACUUUUAAAUUAGUUAAAAAUAUGAUCAAAAGUUAAAACUAGUGUUAAUUUUUGACCAUUUUUGAAGUAAAUUAAAAUGUAUAAUGGUAAAAAUUGCACUUGUUUAAAAAUAAAAUAAUAAAUUUGAUCCAUCACCUUAAAUAAACUAGCGUGUGUAAAUUUAAAUUUUAUCCCAAAUUAUGCUAUGAAUUUUGUUGGUGAAAAUAUGGCAGCACAUACCCAAGUUAAAUUAGUAAAUGACAUAUGUAUAACAUAUAAUCAUGUUGUCCAACUAAUUAAUUUAUAUAUUGUUAUGUAAUUUUUUUUUUGUGAAACAGGAAUUAUAGGAAUUAUAUUGCUAAGAACACUUUUCACGAUAAUUUGCUUGAUUAUAUUGGUUAUACGCAAAUUAAAAAGGAGGCAUUUAUCAAUGGAUGACAUGAUUGAGAAUUUUCUUCAGAGUCAAAAUAAUUUAAUGCCUAUAAGAUAUUCUUAUUUUGAAAUAAAAAGAAUGACGGAAGGUUUCAAGAAUAAGCUAGGACAAGGAGGAUAUGGCUCUGUGUUUAAAGGAAAACUUAGAAGUGGUCAACUUGUUGUGAUAAAAUUGUUAAACAAAUCAAAAGCUAAUGGCCAAGAUUUCAUCAAUAAAGUUGCAACUAUUGGAAGAAUUCAUCAUGUCAAUGUCGUAAGACUCAUUGGAUUUUGUGUGAAGGGAUCAAAACAAGCUCUUGUAUAUGACUUCAUGCAAAACAGGUCCUUAGUUAAAAUAAUAUUUUCGACUGAAAGUAACACUUUGAGUUAACAAAAAAUGUUUGAGAUUGCAUUGGGAGUGGCUCGAGGUAUUGAAUAUUUACAUAGAGGAUGUGAAAUGCAAAUUUUACAUUUCGAUAUCAAGCCACAUAACAUUCUCCUAUAUGAGAACUUUAUCCCAAAAGUUUCAGAUUUUGGCCUUGCAAAGUUGUAUUCAGUGGAUGACAGUAUUGUCUCUCUCACAGCUGCAAGAGGUACAUUAGUAUAUAUGGCUCUUGAAUUGUUUUAUAAAAAUAUUGGAAGCAUCUCAUAUAAAGCCGAUGUUUAUAGUUUUGGAAUGAUGUUAAUGGAAAUUGUCAGAACGAGAAAAAAUGUGAAUGUCUCUGCUGAACAUUCAAAUCAAAUUUAUUUUCCAUCAUGGAUUUAUGAUCGACUCGAAGAAGGAGAUAUCAUAGAGCUUGGAGAUGUAACAGAGAAUGAAAACAAAAUUAUGAGGAAAAUGGUAAUAGUAGCCUUUUGGUGCAUACAGAUGAAGCCCACAGAUCGUCCUUUAAUGAGCAAAGUCUUGGAGAUGCUUGAAAGUGAAGUUAAGCUCCUUGAAAUGCCUCCCAAGCCUGCUUUCUCUUGAAAUGUCAACCAAAUCAUUUAGUGUUGUAUUAUAAGUAAUAUUUAAUAUUGUAUGUUAAGCAAUGUUUCACUACUUUAUUAUAUUGCUUUUAUAAUUUUUAUAGUAGAAACCUUAAGCUUCGGGCAUAAUCUUCUCUCUUCCUAAAAAAACAAAAAAAACAAAA
RNAcentral lists this long non-coding RNA (32532 nucleotides) under Theobroma cacao (cacao). RNAcentral's name for it is "long non-coding RNA (TCAC_LNC004320)". Lineage: Eukaryota; Viridiplantae; Streptophyta; Magnoliopsida; Malvales; Malvaceae. The record is from RNAcentral.